GAUGAACGCUAGCGGCAGGCUUAAUACAUGCAAGUCGUGGGGCAGCAUGAGUAGCAAUACUUGAUGGCGACCGGCAAACGGGUGAGGAACACGUACACAACCUUCCUUCAAGCGGGGAAUAGCCCAGAGAAAUUUGGAUUAAUACCCCGUAAUAUAUUUGAUAAGGCAUCUUAUUAAUAUUAAAGCUUCGGCACUUGAUGAUGGGUGUGCGGCUGAUUAGAUAGUUGGCGGGGUAACGGCCCACCAAGUCUACGAUCAGUAGCUGAUGUGAGAGCAUGAUCAGCCACACGGGCACUGAGACACGGGCCCGACUCCUACGGGAGGCAGCAGUAAGGAAUAUUGGACAAUGGACGAAAGUCUGAUCCAGCCAUGCCGCGUGAAGGAUUAAGGUCCUCUGGAUUGUAACUUCUUUAUAUGGGACGAAAAAGGGCAUUCUUGUUCACUUGACGGUACCAUAUGAAUAAGCACCGGCUAACUCCGUGCCAGCA
This 488-nucleotide ribosomal RNA is filed under the name uncultured bacterium. Its description in RNAcentral is "bacterial SSU rRNA". It matches the Rfam family "Bacterial small subunit ribosomal RNA", at positions 28 to 513 of the family's 1533-position model. The record is from RNAcentral.